RNAcentral lists this ribosomal RNA (195 nucleotides) under uncultured bacterium. Its description in RNAcentral is "partial 16S ribosomal RNA". It matches the Rfam family "Bacterial small subunit ribosomal RNA", at positions 1307 to 1500 of the family's 1533-position model. The record is from RNAcentral.
GCAACUCGCCUGCAUGAAGUUGGAAUUGCUAGUAAUCGCGAAUCAGAAUGUCGCGGUGAAUACGUUCCCGGGCCUUGUACACACCGCCCGUCACACCGUGAGAGUCGAUAACGCCCGAAGCCUGUGAGCUAACCGCAAGGAGGCAGCAGUCGAAGGUGGGGUUGAUGAUUGGGGGUGAAGUCGUAACAAGGUACC